Molecule: transfer RNA, 72 nt
Organism: Camelus ferus (Wild Bactrian camel)
Lineage: Eukaryota; Metazoa; Chordata; Mammalia; Artiodactyla; Camelidae
Rfam family: tRNA
About the family: Transfer RNA (tRNA) molecules are approximately 80 nucleotides in length. Their secondary structure includes four short double-helical elements and three loops (D, anti-codon, and T loops).
Source: Rfam
GAGGGUAUAGCUCAGUGGUAGAGCGUGUGCUUAGCAUGCAUGAGGUCCUGGGUUCAAUCCCCAGUACCUCCA